GUAUGAUGAAGAACAAUUGACAAAAAUUAACCCAGCCAAAGCGUUGGGGUUUUCGCGAGCCGCUGGGGCAUAAAUCAGCAUCGCGGGCGGCUUCGGGAAGCAGCGCGCUCGGAGCGGUGCGCCGCAGCACGCCGCAGCGACUUCCAGCAGCCGCUGGGCUCGCCUGGCCGGAGUGAGUGCGCUUGGCCGCGGGGAUCCGAGUGGGGACAGGACUCGGUCCCGGGUUCAGAGUCAUCCCAGAAGGGACACACUGGCGGAGAAAGGCAUGACUACGCCUCAGCGACCCCCCUAAUUCACCAGUGUGGGGUGUGUGUGUGUGUGUGUGUGUGUGUGUGUGUGUGUGUGUGUGUAAAAUCAAAGAGGACUAAGGGAGGCAAACUUGGCAUGGGGUGUGUGUGUCGGGGGGAGGGGUGAUGAUCAGGGAGUAACAACCUCGACUGUGUCUGGAUCCCGGAGGAGUUUCUCUGCUCAAGUCACUUGAAAGGCAUAUUCGUCUUAGCUUAACAAUUCAACUCUUUUUACGGGAAAUCAAGGGUGGCUCCCUGGGAAGCUCUCCGCCGCGGCGCCGUAGUUGCUCUACUUGCUCGGAGUGUCCGGAGCCCGCCUGCGCAUUCACUUCCCAGUGCACACGCCCUAUUCCGGAACCCCACUCCCGCCCAGCCCGCGCCCUCCUCCUCGGAGCGAGGUGGCAGGCCACGGCGCCCCGGGACCUGCUGGUCAGGCAAGGCAAGGGGCGCCCAGACCAGGCGCCGCCAGCCCUCGCCACCUGUUGGAACGGUGAAGCCAGACCUCGCGCUGCGGGUGGCGGCGACGCCGGGCUACGGGCCGAUUCGCGCUCAGCGGCCAAAGUGAAUUCGGGCCGCGGAGCCGCGGGUUUCUGUUGUAAGUGCAAAGAACAACCCUCUCGGUGCUAAGUGCACAGUAGUGCGAACAAUAAAUAGAUCAUUUCUUGGGGCGUCUGCCCUGAAAAGGCCCCCGCUGUUCAGUGGCCGCUGGGAGUUAUUGAUUACUGUGGGCGACCGCGGCCCCCCUGCACCUCCCCUUGCUAGCGAGAAGGGUGCGCGGCCUCGGCCACCGCCUGGCGCGGCGUCUGGCUCCUGCGAGCGAACGAAUAAUAAAGAUCAUCAAAUCCCUCAAAAACCUCCCCGGACCGUUAAAGCCGCACCACCGUACCGGGGCAGCCUUGGAGGCGAGGAGGACCCCCAGGGUUAACGAAUGUGGCCUGUGUGCGUGUGCGCGCGCCCCUGAGCGCGCGUAUGUGGAUUCUUCUCAGGCUAUCAAUCUGGGUUACCGCAGUAGAGCCGAGGAGGGAAUGGAGUGGGGGAGAGAAGGCUAUUCUUGUCUAAUAUUUGAAUUAAGAAUUCUGUUUAAAAACUCGGCUACAGAGCAAAGAGAGUGAAAAACCUAAAACCCCCCACCUUCCGCGGGGAGCUUUAAUUCUGGGGCAGCGCAGGCCACGCUUUUCUGCGGCAGCGCCCGGGAGUUGGGCGCCCACCGCACUCGCUGGUGAGGUCCUGCAGCCGCGUCCGGGAGAGCCUGGGCCUCUUUGUGGCUCGGAGGCUCUGCGACGCACGCCCCUUCUCGCGCUCCGCCCCGCGGUCCCCGGCCCUCGCCGACCUCCGCAGCCGCGCCGCCCACCGCUUCCUGACCGCCGGGUGUAAACCCGAAUCCACCCCGACCUCAGGCCUCGGCCUGCGCCCUGGCCGGUGGUCCGCCCCUCCAGAGCGCUCAGGGACGGGCAGAGGGGUGGCGGCAGACCGAGCUGCGCUCCCGACGCGAUGCCGCACGUAUUUGUUUCGUGACCUUGACCAUGUCCCAGCCUUAACCUCCUCAAUGUUACAACUGGGAUAAUAAUCCUUGCGGGGCUCGCCCGCUGGGUGGUGGGGUAAUAUAUUCCGGUGGGGAGGGAGGGGGAUUGGCAGAGAGACUGUCAACUAUCCCGCUGUGUGCCUGUUUUCAGCCCGCCCAGAAUUUUGAAGUAAUUCAGGCCCUGGCCUGCGACCUCCUCCAGGGAGGGGCUCGUGGGCGUUUAGGCUCCGCGGAGCCGGCCAUACUUCGGGCGGGUGGGCGCAGCCGGAGCGCCGGGUGGGGGCACAGGGCGCCCUCGGCAGCGUCGGCCGCACUGCCCCCGGCCCGAGGCGGAGCAGCCUCGUCCAGCCUGUCCGGCAGGCUCGGGCUCGGCCCCGGCCCCGCGCCCUGUACUCGGCUCCGAGCUGACCACCGCCCCCCCAACCUCGUCGCCGCGGGCAGUAGCCGUGGACUCCGCAGCCCCAGGGGGGAGCUUGAGCUGGGCGCCGGCCGACGCAACUUAGGCUGAAACGGAAGUCGUGUAGGUUGUCCUGAUCUGCGGGCGAGAUGAAGGCGACCCCGAGUCGCGCAGGAGAACCAGCCUCAGAGAAGGCAUUGGCUUCUGACUCCGUCAGACCUACAUGGGGAGGCUCUAAAGGAAGAAGUCUCCCAACCCUUCACAAAAAUAUAAAACCAUCUGGAAAAGGAAGCAUCUACUGGAUGGAAGGAGACUAUUGCAAAUGAAAGAUUUGCUAGCAAUAGAAUUCAAAGGACUAAAGAAUCUGUGUGAUGCUACAGAUGAAAGCUCUAUCCAGGAACUGAUGCAGAGGAGUAUGGCAACAUUGGAAGUUGUGUGUUAAAGCUGGUGGAGCCACAAUAUGGAAGGAGCCUAGGACCCAGAGUUUUUCUUUCACUGAGGCUAUGGAUCCCCCCAUCCUCACCUUGACACUGGAAUUCUGCCUAAAAUGAAACAGCAACAGAACAGAGGUCAAGAACUUGGAAGGAUUCAUAUGGAAGAAACCAGCAAACGCAGCAGCUCUGGAUGAGAAGGAAGUUUCUAUGAUGAGGAGCACCUGUAAGCCAGAGUCUGGGGAACAGAACUUCCCAUCAAUCUGCUUUGGGCAUCUGGAGCAGCCCAGAUAUUAACCUUUGUUCUUUCCAGCCUCUGUGAUUGCUUCAUUGUUUGCUUCCGUAACAUAACCUCGCCUAUCCUGAUUGACACACUUGCCUUGAAGGUACCGGACCAACAUGAAAUACUGAACCUCACAAACAUGGACUGCCAUCCUGCUACAUCAGCAAUGAAAGCCAAGUUAGCUGUUCUCAGGACCUUCUGCUGAAUAUAUUUUGGAGUCCCUUCCACUAUAAUGGAGGACCUGUCUGACUGAAUGGCUUUAAGACAGAGUAUGGUGAUUCAACCCGAAGCACGAGCUUUUCUACCUAAACUCAGAACCCAGAAUCAGACCAAAAGAGGAAGAGAAGCAUCUCUUUCCCUGCGAGGAGGAAGAAGUUUCAGUACGUGUUGGCUAAGAUGACCCUUGGAUCGUGUGCUCUGUGGAGUUCACAUCAAGUAUUUAUCAGGUGGGCUCUGGCAGCAUGUUCGCACCAGGAAUAAAUAAAAUAAUACUUAAUUCUCUCUCUGUUAGCAUCCAGAAUUUGGAUCUAAUUUGAAGAAAAGGAAUGAUUUUCUCAACUGUGACAAUGCUUUAAACAACUUCUUGAACUCAUUUAGCUGCCACUGCCACUGAUCUUAUUGUUUUGUUUUUUACAUCAUCAGAUUUUGAUCAAAGGGUUCACAAAAAUUAGAAAUACAGAGAGCAGAGCAUGCUGUGCGUCAGCUGCUGCAGAGAACAGAUGAAACAAACCCAGGGUUUAUCGCAGGCCUGGGACUAACCGAGCCAGCAGCUUCAAAUAGAGCACACUCGCAAAUAAUUUCAAAUCGUUUUUUAUGAGGUUUUACAAAAAUAAAGCUGGGUACACACUAGAUUAACAAGCACUCUCUGAGAUCCAGCAACCAAAAGAAGACCCUGUUAUCUUUGCCAGAUCAAAUGCUGUUUCUUCACAUUAGAUGUAGAAUAAAUAUAAGCGACAAAAUAAGGAAUGAACUUUUUCAUGAGUUCUGAAAUGAUUCUGUGUCAUUUUCUACUAUGAUAAUCAAGGAGUGUUGUCCUCUCAUUUGUAGAGGUUUUACAAACAUCUUUUGUACAACUAAUGCCUGUUCUUUUUUUCUUUUGAAAACAGACAAUACAGAGAAGAAACUAGAAACCAUCAAUAACCUUUGUCUCUAAGAAUGUACUGCUAAUUUUGAGAUAUUUUAUUCUGGUAUUUUUGCUGUGCGUUACCAUAUAUAGUUAAUGAUAAACUCAUGUAUGUACUAUCUGAUAUAUAAAAAGCAUGUAAGCCAUGAGGUGUAAUAAUAAAAUGGCACCCCUGAACCUAAACUCAAACCAGGGACCAGAGAGUCAUCGCUAACUUGGCACUUUCCCCUGCGUUCCUCCCCUACUAUCUGCCUGCUUUGCUCCCUGAUCCCAAACCUGAGGGUAACCUCGAGCCAGGGGUUCUCAUUUAGGAUUUUAUCUCUCAAGACAUUCCACAAUAUUUGAACACAUUUUCGGUGGUCACAAGUGGGGUGGGGUUUACAACCAGGGUCUGGUGAGUAGAGAUCAGGGAUGCUGCUAAACAUCCACUAAUGCAUAGGACAGUCACUGACAACCAAGAAUUAUCUGCUUUAAAUGUCCAUAGGGUUAACAUUGAAAAACCCUGUUCUCUCCUGUGUGUUGGAUUUAUCAUGACCGUGCUCAAGACAAUAGUUUUGUCACACAAAUGAUCUAAGUAAUUUGUCAUUUAAUUUUGCUGGUUUGGGGGGCGCCUGGGUGGCUCAGUAGUUAAGUGUCUACCUUCGGCUCAGGUCAUGAUCCCAGGGUCCUGAGAUCCGGCCCCACAUCAGGCUCCCUGCUCAGCAGGGAGUCUGCUUCUCCCUCUCCCACUCCCCCUGCUUGUGUUCCCUCUCUCACUGUGUCUCUCUCUGUCAAAUAAAUAAAUAAAAUCUUUUUAAAAACUUUUUGCUGGUUUAGGGGUUUUAUAAAAUAGUAUUGUGCUGCAUGUAGUAUUCUGUGACUUGCUUUUUUUCUCCUUCAACUGUUUACUUUUAGUUUUCAUUGAUAAUUUUGCCCAUUUAUUUUCAUGGGUAUAUAUUACUUCAUUGUGUGAAGAUGCCACAAUGUAUUUUUUAUUCUAUUGUCAAUGAGUAUUUUGUUUGUUUGUUUAUUGCUAAUAUGAACGAUGCUUCUGAAACAUCUUCACGCAAAUCCACGGAUGCCCAUAUGCAACAGUUCGUGUGAAGUGUAUAUCUAGGAUCCAAAACUCUAGGUUGUAGGGGAUGUAAGCUUUAAAUGUAAAGGGUAAUGCAAAUUUCAAUGUGACUGUGCUGAUUUAUAUUCUCGUCAACAAGAUACAUGAUUCUGCCUUGAGCUACAUUUCUCCAAUACUCGGUAUGUUUUGCUAAUUUUUGCCAAUCUAGGGAGCAUUGAAAGGUAAAUCAAUGUGGCCUUGUGAUUUACAUCUCCUGAAUUACUGGCAAGAUUGAGCAUCUUUUUAUUUUUUUUUAAGAUUUUUAUUUAUUUAUUUGACAGAGAGAGAGACAGCGAGAGAGGGAAUACAAGCAGG
Long non-coding RNA from Mirounga angustirostris (Northern elephant seal), 5451 nucleotides. RefSeq lists it as uncharacterized. The transcript has 7 exons. The record is from RefSeq and is a predicted model, not a curated record. NCBI's taxonomy places the organism in Eukaryota, Metazoa, Chordata, Mammalia, Carnivora, Phocidae.